GUGCUCCGAAGGUUAAGAGGUGCGUCAGUCGCAAGAUGAAGCGUUGAAUUGAAGCCCGAGUAAACGGCGGCCGUAACUAUAACGGUCCUAAGGUAGCGAAAUUCCUUGUCGGUUAAAUACCGACCUGCAUGAAUGGCGUAACGAGAUGGGAGCUGUCUCAACCAGAGAUUCAGUGAAAUUGUAGUGGAGGUGAAAAUUCCUCCUACCCGCGGCAAGACGGAAAGACCCCGUGGACCUUUACUACAACUUAGCACUGCUAAUGGGAAUAUCAUGCGCAGGAUAUGUGGGAGGCUUUGAAGUAAGGGCUUUGGCUCUUAUGGAGC
This 323-nucleotide ribosomal RNA is filed under the name Helicobacter pylori. Its description in RNAcentral is "bacterial LSU rRNA". It matches the Rfam family "Bacterial large subunit ribosomal RNA", at positions 1866 to 2186 of the family's 2925-position model. Lineage: Bacteria; Pseudomonadati; Campylobacterota; Epsilonproteobacteria; Campylobacterales; Helicobacteraceae. The record is from RNAcentral.